CCUCUCAGGGAGGGAGGGCAGGAUGAGGUCCCCGUUGCCUGAGCAGUGGGCCUCCCUCCAUCCCUCUAGGUGCACGCCUGGUGAGAGCUCUGUGCCUCCAUCCAGCUCCCCACCUCCCUGCCCCACCCGCUCCCCGGAACCGCCCCCCUCUCAGCCCUGGGCCGCUCAUGCCCUCUGGGUUCUGUUUUCAUUCCAGGCUGUGGAUCCGGUCGUGGGAAGCAGGUGCAAGAGCCUGCGGGGAUGAACCCCACUGAAUCUGAGCAGCCCGUCCUGUGUUCCUGGCCACCAGGACGUGUGCACCCCAGGCUUUGAUGAGACCCCCCCAGACUCGGAUCCUACAUUGCCUGUCCCCACGGGACCAGGGGACUCUCAGCCCUUCCCACAAAGGUUCCAGCCUUCAUCCACAGGGACUCCAAAACAUGCAUCUGUCAGGUAAGUUACAGGACCAGAACCUUGGGAGAGGACAUGCCGAGCAAGCCACUGAGAAAACUGAAAUAAAAUGAAUUCC
Molecule: long non-coding RNA, 508 nt
Organism: Manis javanica (Malayan pangolin)
Lineage: Eukaryota; Metazoa; Chordata; Mammalia; Pholidota; Manidae
Source: RefSeq, a predicted model, not a curated record